UAGGGAAUCUUCCACAAUGGGCGCAAGCCUGAUGGAGCAACACCGCGUGAGUGAAGAAGGGUUUCGGCUCGUAAAACUCUGUUGUUGAAGAAGAACGUGCGUGAGAGUAACUGUUCAUGCAGUGACGGUAUUCAACCAGAAAGUCACGGCUAACUACGUGCCAGCAGCCGCGGUAAUACGUAGGUGGCAAGCGUUAUCCGGAUUUAUUGGGCGUAAAGCGAGCGCAGGCGGUUACUUAAGUCUGAUGUGAAAGCCUUCGGCUUAACCGAAGAAGUGCAUCGGAAACUGGGUGACUUGAGUGCAGAAGAGGACAGUGGAACUCCAUGUGUAGCGGUGGAAUGCGUAGAUAUAUGGAAGAACACCAGUGGCGAAGGCGGCUGUCUGGUCUGCAACUGACGCUGAGGCUCGAAAGCAUGGGUAGCGAACAGG
Molecule: ribosomal RNA, 429 nt
Filed under: uncultured bacterium
Lineage: Bacteria
Description: bacterial SSU rRNA
Rfam family: Bacterial small subunit ribosomal RNA
Source: RNAcentral